AUCGCUUCUCGGCCUUUUGGCUAAGAUCAAGUGAAGACAUCCAUAUAAAAUAUUACUUAGUGAACUAAUUUAGAAUUGCAAUUUUCAAAGAAAUUAUUCUCUUGAAAACUUCUAUGGAAUUAGCCAUUUUCUUUCUCAGAAGCAUCAAGUGUGGCAAAAACUUA
Molecule: small nuclear RNA, 164 nt
Organism: Rattus norvegicus (Norway rat)
Lineage: Eukaryota; Metazoa; Chordata; Mammalia; Rodentia; Muridae
Product: U2 spliceosomal RNA
Source: Ensembl